UAAUUACCUUCUCAGCAGCAACCCUUUGUUUUUCUUGAAGUUCCUUGUUGUGCAUGAGUUCCAUAAGCAAUGAGGCUAGAUUUGUCGGCGUGCAUGCUUGAAAGAGAGCUUCAGGAAUUAUAGCAGAAUCCAUGAGUAUAUUGGGCAGAGAAAUGUAUGGUAUCUUUGCUUUAUACCAAAUAAACCAUUCAGUUAGGAUAUGGGCUCGAUAGGCAACUACACAUGGCAAGCGUGCAAGCUGCAACUCCACAGCGACUGUUCCAGAAGUACAUAAUGCAACACUACAGGCACUAAAGGCAUCGUAUUUUGUGUGUGGUUGACCUCCGGGAAUCAAUAUAACAGGCAC
This 346-nucleotide unclassified non-coding RNA is filed under the name Hevea brasiliensis (rubber tree). Lineage: Eukaryota; Viridiplantae; Streptophyta; Magnoliopsida; Malpighiales; Euphorbiaceae. The record is from RNAcentral.